AUGGCACUGACUGACACUUGGAUCAAACCUGAAGACACUGCCACUCCCGCAGCCCUCUCCACUAAUUUCACUUGUUCCCACACCCCUUGUACGACUGGGAGGGGUGGAGGUACUGGUCUCCUUAUAUCAAAAGACUGGAAAUUUGAUCUUCAACCAUCACCUACAGGUAACGGUUCAUUUGAAUCACAUGCAAUUACUGUAACCCACCCUGUUAAAAUCCACUUUAUGGUCAUUUAUCGUCCCCCAGGUCAAUUGGGAAACUUCUUGGAGGAGUUGGAUGUGCUACUAUCAAACUAUCCUGAAGAUGGUACUCCUCUGGUACUGCUUGGUGACUUCAACAUCCACCUAGAUAAACCCCAGGCUGCUGACUUCAACACUCUGCUCGCCUCAUUUGAUCUCAAGCGAGUGUCUACUACAGCGACUCACAAAUCGGGCAACCAACUGGACCUCAUCUACACAUGCUGUUGCUCCAUGGACAACUCUUUAGUUGCUCCACUGCACACCUCAGACCACUUCCUUAUUACUGCUAACCUAGCACUUCCUCCUGAAGCGGCACACACUCCAAUGCAGGUCACCUUUCGACGGAACCUACGCUCACUCUCUCCAUCUCGCCUAUCCUCGGUGGAUUCAUCCUCACUUCCUUCACUCUCUCAGUUUUCAGCUCUGGACACGAACAGUGCUACGGACACUUUUUGCUCCACUCUAACCUCUUGCUUGGACAACUUGUUCCCACGGUCGUCUAGACCAGCACGCACCACCCCAUCUGCCCUCUGGCUGUCCGGUGUUCUCCGUGAACAUUGCUCUAAACUCAGGGCUGCAGAGAGGAAAUGGCAUAAAUCAAGGAACUCUACCGACCUCAGUGUGUAUCAGUCUCUCCUCUCUUCCUUCUCUGCAAAUGUCUUCACUGCUAAAACAUCAUAUUACCACAACAAAAUUAACAACUGUUGUGACGCUCAGACACUCUUCAAGACUUUCUCUUCUCUUCUUUAUCCGCCUCCAUCUCCUCCUCCAUCGACUCUCACAGCUGACGCCUUUGCAGUUUUCUUCACAAAUUAG
Long non-coding RNA from Cyprinus carpio (common carp), 1056 nucleotides. The record is from Ensembl. Lineage: Eukaryota; Metazoa; Chordata; Actinopteri; Cypriniformes; Cyprinidae.